Molecule: ribosomal RNA, 252 nt
Filed under: uncultured bacterium
Lineage: Bacteria
Description: partial 16S ribosomal RNA
Rfam family: Bacterial small subunit ribosomal RNA
Source: RNAcentral
UACGGAGGAUGCGAGCGUUAUCCGGAUUUAUUGGGUUUAAAGGGUGCGUAGGCGGUCCGUUAAGUCAGCGGUAAAAUUGCGGGGCUCAACCCCGUCGAGCCGUUGAAACUGUCAGACUUGGGUUGGCGAGAAGUACGCGGAAUGCGCGGUGUAGCGGUGAAAUGCAUAGAUAUCGCGCAGAACUCCGAUUGCGAAGGCAGCGUACCGGCGCCACACUGACGCUGAGGCACGAAAGCGUGGGGAUCGAACAGG